This 531-nucleotide ribosomal RNA is filed under the name uncultured Pseudomonas sp. Its description in RNAcentral is "bacterial SSU rRNA". It matches the Rfam family "Bacterial small subunit ribosomal RNA", at positions 47 to 572 of the family's 1533-position model. Lineage: Bacteria; Pseudomonadati; Pseudomonadota; Gammaproteobacteria; Pseudomonadales; Pseudomonadaceae. The record is from RNAcentral.
CCUAACACAUGCAAGUCGAGCGGAUGACGGGAGCUUGCUCCUUGAUUCAGCGGCGGACGGGUGAGUAAUGCCUAGGAAUCUGCCUGGUAGUGGGGGACAACGUUUCGAAAGGAACGCUAAUACCGCAUACGUCCUACGGGAGAAAGCAGGGGACCUUCGGGCCUUGCGCUAUCAGAUGAGCCUAGGUCGGAUUAGCUAGUUGGUGAGGUAAUGGCUCACCAAGGCGACGAUCCGUAACUGGUCUGAGAGGAUGAUCAGUCACACUGGAACUGAGACACGGUCCAGACUCCUACGGGAGGCAGCAGUGGGGAAUAUUGGACAAUGGGCGAAAGCCUGAUCCAGCCAUGCCGCGUGUGUGAAGAAGGUCUUCGGAUUGUAAAGCACUUUAAGUUGGGGAGGAAGGGCAUUAACCUAAUACGUUAGUGUUUUGACGUUACCGACAGAAUAAGCACCGGCUAACUCUGUGCCAGCAGCCGCGGUAAUACAGAGGGUGCAAGCGUUAAUCGGAAUUACUGGGCGUAAAGCGCGCGU